Long non-coding RNA from Rhagoletis zephyria (snowberry fruit fly), 378 nucleotides. RefSeq lists it as uncharacterized. The record is from RefSeq and is a predicted model, not a curated record. NCBI's taxonomy places the organism in Eukaryota, Metazoa, Arthropoda, Insecta, Diptera, Tephritidae.
GAAACCGCGAUCGCUAAAUGAAAUUUGUUGAUGGAGAGUUCCGGCAAUUUGCCCUUUAUUCGGGCUUAGUCGUUUUAAAAGGAUGAUGAAAAAAGGCGGUUUGAAGCGAAAUUUGUCGAGCCUCCUGGGGCCCGAGAUAAUAAAAUCUUUUAAUUAUGAUGGCAUGCAGGGGAAAAAGGCUUUCCGUAACUUAGCUGAGCUUAACAAUAUAUUUUUUAACGCUGCCGAAGACGUGACAAUGCGGGAGCAAUAUCGAUCCGAAAGGAAAAGCGGAUUUAAAUUAAGCAAAAGUCGACAAUAUAAAGCAACUCAUUUGCUUAAGAAGCAAAGUAUUUAAUUGACCUUUAAUUUCCUAAGUAAUUCUAAUAUUUACUUUUA